CGUGAGAUGUUGGGUUAAGUCCCGCAACGAGCGCAACCCUCGCCCUUAGUUGCCAGCAUUUAGUUGGGCACUCUAAGGGGACUGCCGGUGAUAAGCCGCGAGGAAGGUGGGGAUGACGUCAAGUCCUCAUGGCCCUUACGGGCCGGGCUACACACGUGCUACAAUGGCGGUGACAAUGGGAUGCAAUGGAGCGAUCCUGCGCAAAUCUCAAAAAGCCGUCUCAGUUCGGAUUGGAGUCUGCAACUCGACUCCA
Molecule: ribosomal RNA, 253 nt
Filed under: uncultured bacterium
Lineage: Bacteria
Description: partial 16S ribosomal RNA
Rfam family: Bacterial small subunit ribosomal RNA
Source: RNAcentral